GAGAGUUUGAUCCUGGCUCAGGAUGAACGCUAGCUACAGGCUUAACACAUGCAAGUCGAGGGGCAGCAUGGUCUUAGCUUGCUAAGGCCGAUGGCGACCGGCGCACGGGUGAGUAACACGUAUCCAACCUGCCGUCUACUCUUGGACAGCCUUCUGAAAGGAAGAUUAAUACAAGAUGGCAUCAUGAGUCCGCAUGUUCACAUGAUUAAAGGUAUUCCGGUAGACGAUGGGGAUGCGUUCCAUUAGAUAGUAGGCGGGGUAACGGCCCACCUAGUCUUCGAUGGAUAGGGGUUCUGAGAGGAAGGUCCCCCACAUUGGAACUGAGACACGGUCCAAACUCCUACGGGAGGCAGCAGUGAGGAAUAUUGGUCAAUGGGCGAGAGCCUGAACCAGCCAAGUAGCGUGAAGGAUGACUGCCCUAUGGGUUGUAAACUUCUUUUAUAAAGGAAUAAAGUCGGGUAUGGAUACCCGUUUGCAUGUACUUUAUGAAUAAGGAUCGGCUAACUCCGUGCCAGCAGCCGCGGUAAUACGGAGGAUCCGAGCGUUAUCCGGAUUUAUUGGGUUUAAAGGGAGCGUAGAUGGAUGUUUAAGUCAGUUGUGAAAGUUUGCGGCUCAACCGUAAAAUUGCAGUUGAUACUGGAUAUCUUGAGUGCAAUUGAGGCAGGCGGAAUUCGUGGUGUAGCGGUGAAAUGCUUAGAUAUCACGAAGAACUCCGAUUGCGAAGGCAGCCUGCUAAGCUGCAACUGACAUUGAGGCUCGAAAGUGUGGGUAUCAAACAGGAUUAGAUACCCUGGUAGUCCACACGGUAAACGAUGAAUACUCGCUGUUUGCGAUAUACUGCAAGCGGCCAAGCGAAAGCGUUAAGUAUUCCACCUGGGGAGUACGCCGGCAACGGUGAAACUCAAAGGAAUUGACGGGGGCCCGCACAAGCGGAGGAACAUGUGGUUUAAUUCGAUGAUACGCGAGGAACCUUACCCGGGCUUAAAUUGCAGAUGAAUUACGGUGAAAGCCGUAAGCCGCAAGGCAUCUGUGAAGGUGCUGCAUGGUUGUCGUCAGCUCGUGCCGUGAGGUGUCGGCUUAAGUGCCAUAACGAGCGCAACCCUUGUUGUCAGUUACUAACAGGUUCUGCUGAGGACUCUGACAAGACUGCCAUCGUAAGAUGUGAGGAAGGUGGGGAUGACGUCAAAUCAGCACGGCCCUUACGUCCGGGGCUACACACGUGUUACAAUGGGGGGUACAGAGGGCCGCUACCACGCGAGUGGAUGCCAAUCCCAAAAACCUCUCUCAGUUCGGACUGGAGUCUGCAACCCGACUCCACGAAGCUGGAUUCGCUAGUAAUCGCGCAUCAGCCACGGCGCGGUGAAUACGUUCCCGGGCCUUGUACACACCGCCCGUCAAGCCAUGGGAGCCGGGGGUACCUGAAGUGCGUAACCGCGAGGAGCGCCCUAGGGUAAAACUGGUGACUGGGGCUAAGUCGUAACAAGGUAGCCG
This 1491-nucleotide ribosomal RNA is filed under the name uncultured bacterium. RNAcentral describes it as "bacterial SSU rRNA". It matches the Rfam family "Bacterial small subunit ribosomal RNA". The record is from RNAcentral.